UUCUUGUCACAUAGCUUUCAAAUUAAGUUUUGUGUUAUGUGAUUUUGUGCAGCAUUUUUCUCCUCCAAGAUAACAAGCAGAGAGCAGGCUCUCAUCUAGAUUAUAAUGAGCCACAAUAGAGCUCACAGUUAUUGAUGAUAAACACCCCACGUGUUCCCGUCAUCUUAAGUUUCAUCUUCAUUUUGACUCAAAGCUGUUAGGCUGGUUGACAAACGGAUGGGUAGAUAAUGUCAUAAAUCUACUGCAUUUUUUUCUACCCUAAAAGACAAAGAGUUUGAUGACGGAGAUGCCAUGGGAGGAAUUUGGGGUUUGGUGUCUUCAACAUCAAACUAGCAACCCUACGUUUAAUGGUUUUACCUCCUGAGCCACAGCUGUUCCAAGUUCAUCGAUUUGACACUUGGUUUUGUGGUUAACUGUUUUUUUUCUUUCGUUUUUAUAUGUAGUUCAUUCUAUUAACUUUAUUUUUUGUGCUUUUGAAUGCACAUUGAGUUAACUUGCAAUGAAAUGUUAAUAGAAACUAUAUUACUCUGCCAUAACCCCCUUUAAACAAUAUUUUGAGAUACCUUUAAUAUUGAGACAAAAUGUGAAAAACAUUUUUAAAAAGUCUGUGUGCAGUACUUCCUCUUACUGUGGGUGUUUGUUGUUUUUCUGUGUGUUUCAGAGGCAGCUGCUUGGCAUUGAAGCCCCGGCUUCUGUGGAACUGACUGGGUGGAGGAAAUACUUUAAUAGCUACACUCUGCAGGGUCGCAGAAAUUGUGUGUUAGCUACAUAUGGGAUCCUUGCUGUAACCGCAGCUGCCUACUGGAUGCACAGACAAAACAAAAAAGAAAACCAGACGUCCAACUCCACAGCCUGAAAUAUCAACCUCGUACAGUGAUGUAUUCACUAAUGAUUAAUUAUGAAGUGAAGAAAUCGAAGGAAAUGUUGUGACACUACAUCUGAAUGUGAGAAAGUUUGAAAUUGUUAAUAAAAUAAAAUUGCUGUCUGAUCAUCAUGCAGUGAUAUUAUGAGAAAUCACA
Plectropomus leopardus (leopard coralgrouper) is the source of this 1019-nucleotide non-coding RNA. NCBI's taxonomy places the organism in Eukaryota, Metazoa, Chordata, Actinopteri, Perciformes, Serranidae. The record is from RefSeq and is a predicted model, not a curated record.